RNAcentral lists this ribosomal RNA (253 nucleotides) under uncultured bacterium. RNAcentral's name for it is "partial 16S ribosomal RNA". It matches the Rfam family "Bacterial small subunit ribosomal RNA", at positions 524 to 776 of the family's 1533-position model. The record is from RNAcentral.
UACGAAGGGGGCUAGCGUUGCUCGGAAUCACUGGGCGUAAAGGGUGCGUAGGCGGGUCUUUAAGUCAGAGGUGAAAUCCUGGAGCUUAACUCCAGAACUGCCUUUGAGACUGCAUCGCUUGAAUCGUGGAGAGGUAAGUGGAAUUCCGAGUGUAGAGGUGAAAUUCGUAGAUAUUCGGAAGAACACCAGUGGCGAAGGCGACUUACUGGACACGUAUUGACGCUGAGGUGCGAAAGCGUGGGGAGCAAACAGG